Molecule: non-coding RNA, 1252 nt
Organism: Pelobates cultripes (western spadefoot toad)
Lineage: Eukaryota; Metazoa; Chordata; Amphibia; Anura; Pelobatidae
Source: the annotation of a GenBank genome assembly
AGGGAACUUAAGGAAACUUAAAAUUAACCUAAAAUAUCUAGGGUUUUUUUUCAGGAAGUGUGUAGGAAGGCCGUGCAAAUCACAUAGGGGGAGGUGUGACUAGGGCUGUAAGCUGUAUAAACAAAGUUAUCUAACUACUAAAUAGCAGCGAAUUAAGCAGUCAGACUUCAAGGAAAUAAUCUAUACACCAAAACUGCUUCAUUAAGCUAAAAUUGUAUUGGUAUCUAUAGUAUCCAAUUAAACAGGACAUGUAUCUAAAUAAACAGACAUUAAAACAUUGUGCUUAUUAAAUGCCAAAAUCCUGAACAGAAAUUAUUAGUGGCUUCUUUAAAUAGGCAGUCUUUUAUUCAGGAACAAAAUACAAUAGCAGAAUUUCGGCUCUUGCAUGAGCCUUUGUCAAGCCUGACAAAAGCUAAUUUAAGAGCAGAAACGUUACUAUUGUAUUUUUUCCUGAAUAAAAGACUGUCUAUUUGAAGAAACCAGUAGGUGUACCGGAAUGUUUGUAAAAUUGACUACAUAUUUUGAUGGCAGUAACACAAUUAGACAAUAUUAAAGAGGACAUUUUAAAAUCUUUUUCUCAGCCUUGUUAGAAAUGACCAUUUCAUCCAUUUGUAUUCACCAAGUUACAAACAUCAUCAUUGUACACGACACAUAAUAACCUCUGGGACACAUGGAGGGCCACUUGAAGAAUCUAAGGUAUUCAUUGAAGUGUAAUCAUUCUAACUUUCAAAUAACCAUUUUAGCAAGAUUAAACUAUCUUGGAAUCCAGCACAAGUUUGUAAUUGAUCCUGUACUUCUGUAAAUAGGUGUAAUUAAACUAAAUCGUGUUAUAUUACCAAGUACUUCCAUUACAUUGCAAUUAAUAGAUGCAGUAUGGUUUUACAACUACUUGUUGCAAAGAGCUGAUAAUUCAAUAAAAAUGCUAAUGCUCAAGAUAUUAAAGAUCCCAUUUUAUUAGGGCUAUAGUCAGUCAACAGGUGGGCAAAAAAGUUGUUGAUGCUAAGUACUUCCAUGAUAAGCAAUUUCAUUUGGUACGUGAAUAAAGUGUUUCUCUUCCUCUAGCUCUCCCUCUCCCUCUCCCUCUCCUGAGAGGUAUUUCCUUAAAACGUUCCCCACUCCUUAUUGCAUACAGCGGUAAUCAUUCCCUUGUUGCGAGUCUGUACACAAAGACUUUACCAUUUGUUCACUACAAAGGCCAAAGUAAAAGGCUAGGUACAUGAAAAGGAUUCUCCAGAACGAAGGCCACUCAUUC